UGGGGAAUAUUGGACAAUGCGGGAAACUGUGAUCCAGCAAUGCCGCGUGAGUGAUGAAGGCCUUAGGGUUGUAAAGCUCUUUUACCAGGGAUGAUAAUGACAGUACCUGGAGAAUAAGCUCCGGCUAACUACGUGCCAGCAGCCGCGGUAAUACGUAGGGGGCGAGCGUUGUCCGGAAUUAUUGGGCAUAAAGAGCGUGUAGGCGGCCUGGUAAGUCUGCCGUGAAAACCUGGGGCUCAACCCUGGGCGUGCGGUGGAUACUGCCAGGCUAGAGGAUGGUAGAGGCGAGUGGAAUUCCCGGUGUAGCGGUGAAAUGCGCAGAUAUCGGGAGGAACACCAGUAGCGAAGGCGGCUCGCUGGGCCAUUCCUGACGCUGAGACGCGAAAGCGUGGGGAGCAAACAGGAUUAGAUACCCCGG
Molecule: ribosomal RNA, 418 nt
Filed under: uncultured prokaryote
Description: bacterial SSU rRNA
Rfam family: Bacterial small subunit ribosomal RNA
Source: RNAcentral